UGUCAUCCACUUCCGUGUUGACGCCGUCCCUGCAUGAACUGUGCGCUUCACCACCGACCCAUGAUCUAUCCUUAUCCCCUCUUACCAGUUCAUCCUCACCACCGUUCCGAUCUCCGAUCGGUUCCGGCUGCAGCCUCCACCACAUUAGACCUUAGAUCUAGACUCCCCACAAUCUCCCCAGUUCACCUGCAGUUUUGUGCAGCCGCCAUCUGAAACACAGCCGCUACCUAACCCUAGAUUGCUAACCAUUUGAUAGCGCAGAAGCUCCCGCAGCCGCUGGGCCGCUUUGACCGCCUUCCUUGAGUUUUCAUGCAUCGGAGCCAGGUCCAUGACCCAUGUUGAGGUCUUUACCAACGUUCAUUCUGCUGGGUGGGGAGCGAAGUCCUUGGCGUUUACAGGUUUUGGUGAGCUUCGUCUCUUUCUCGUCUCUGUCCUGUGCCCAUGCUGGUGUAUUUUUGCAGUGAUGCGUUUGAUGUUUCUUUUACUGCGGUGGAUGUACACAGGAAAUGAACAAAAUUGAGCCUGGAACCUGGAUGAUUCGUCGAGGACGAGCUGACACCUAUGACUAGCAGGGAUCGGAACCUAGAAAGCAAUUAUGUGGCGAGGUCUGGUGGGUGAGGAUUUGCAAGGUGCACUCAUUGUUUCCUUUUACUGCAGGUGGCUGUUGUCACGAACACCACACAAGUGGGGAAUAAGCACUUCGUCAGGGAAAACGUACAGCCAUACAGAACGUUAUAUGAUUGGUAUGAAGACAUGGAUGCUGAAAACGAUCAGAUUUCCAUAUGAUUUUCUGGACAAAAAUUAUGUUGAGUACAAGACCAGAAGACCAGGAAGGACUUACAAUAUUUGGAUAUAAGCUAUGAACAUAUCUGAAGUCAGAAUAUUAGUAGAAUUAUAUAUAGGAGUCGUUAGAUUGUCAUAUUUUGAAUCAAGAUUGUAAGCUGUGUGUACUCUUCGGAUAAGUCUCAUGUAUUUUGAUAGUAGUUCGAAUAAUAUAAAUUGAAUCGUUUUGUCACCUAAUUCAUUUUUUAUUCUA
Molecule: non-coding RNA, 1036 nt
Organism: Lolium perenne
Lineage: Eukaryota; Viridiplantae; Streptophyta; Magnoliopsida; Poales; Poaceae
Source: RefSeq, a predicted model, not a curated record